AAAAAUAUAAGUAUAUAAAGUAAUAAUAAGGAAUUAUAAGGGAUGACAUGCCAUAAUAUAAAAAUGGAAUAAAAUAUAAAACUUUGAGAAUAAAUAAAAAUUCAAAGGAAUCCAAAGCGAAAGCAAAAAUUAUAAAAACUGGUGGAACUGAAACAUCUAAAUACACCAAGGAAAAAAAAUCAACCGAGAUAUUUAAAGUAGUGGCGAGCGAAAUAAAUAAAGCCUAUAAAAAAUACGAAUGUAUUUCAAUUAUAAAAAUUAGAUAAAUAUAUACCAAAGAAGGUUAAGUCCCAAAUAAAUUAAAAAAAGUCAUUUAUGACUGAAAAGUAAAAUAAGUAAAAACUUGUUUGAAUAAAGGGGAACCAUCCUCUAAGGCUAAAUAUGAUAUUAUGAGCGAUAGUGAACAAGUACUGUGAAGGAAAGUUGAAAAGUAAGUAGAUUACUGGUGAAAAGAAUCCUGAAUUUAUAAUUUUAAAAGUAGUUAAAGGAAAUCUAAUAACUUACCUUUUGCAUAAUGGGUCAGCAAGUUAAGAUAAAUAGCAAGAAUAUUAUUCAAAGUAAAUACAUAUAAAGUUACUUAUCUUAGACCCGAAACCUAGUGAUCUUACUAUUAUCAAGUUAUAGGACUGAACGGUAGGCUGUAGCAAUAGUCACCGAUGAAUAAUGGUAAGGAGUGAAAGGCUAAUCGUACUAGGAAAUAGCUGGUAUUCUGCGAAAACUAUUGAGGUAGUACUAUCUAAAAAAAUAUAUAUCUUUUAUUUAAAAAAGCAAUGGAUAUCAUACGAAAUAAAAAAACGUUUAAUUGGGGAAUAUAAAUUAUUUUAUCAUUGAGAUCUAAACUAGAUAUAGAAUAAAAGCAUUUUUAAUUUAGAUAAGUCAGAUAUAUUGUGCUAAGAUAAUAUAUCAAAAGGGAAAAAGCCCUAAAGUUGAAUUAAGGUCCCGAAUUUAUGAGUUAGUGAAUUAAAAAUAGUCAUGGUCAAAAACCAAUCUCAUUUGUUGGCCUAGAAGCAGUCAUCUAAUAAAGAAAGCGUAACAGCUCAAAGGUUUAAUAUCAUGGCAUUUAAAAUGUAACGGGUCUAAAACUCAUAAACCGAAAUUAAGAAAAAAGGUAGCAGAACAAACAUUAUAUGAAGUAUAUAAAUGUAGAGAUAAUGCUGAUAUGAGUAACGUAAGGGAUAAAAUCCCCGCUGAAAAAUGAAGGUAAUAAAAAAAAACGGCCUCUAAGAAAUAUCAAUAAGAAAAUUCGAUGGGAAGCAAAUUGUAUAUGUAAAAUUAUCGACCACGAUCACUGUAUACAUGGUGGUUAUUUUACCAGGAAAAUAUUUAUUAAACCGUACCAUAAUCCGACUCAGGUAUUUAGGUAGAGUAUACUAAAGCGAUUGAGAUAAUAAUUCUGAAGGAACUAGGCAAAAUAACUCUGUAACUUAGGGAUAAAGAGGCCAAAUUAAUGGGUCACAUAAGAGUAGAGAGCAACUGUUUACUAAAAACACAGGACUUUGCCAAGUUGAAAAACUAAGUAUAGAGUCUGAAAUCUGCCCGGUGCUAGUAGCAUAGUAUAAAAAGUUUAAAUAUCGGUUUUUUAUAUAUAAACACUGGUUAACGGCGGUUGUACCGAUGACAAUCCUAAGGUAGCGAAAUUCCUAGUCAUUUAAUUGGUGACGUGCAUGAAUGAUCCAAUGAAUUCUCUUACUGUCUCCAAAAUUAACUCAGUGAAAUUACAUUAUCCGUGCAAAUGCGGAUUACCAUUAGCUAGACGGGAAGACCCUUUGAAGCUUUACUGUAGAUUAAUAUAAUUAAUAAUAAUAAAAUAAUUGGUUUAUAGUUAAUCAUUUCCACAAUUUUAUUGUUACAUAAAAACAAAUAAUAUUUGUGAUGUUAAUUAGACAGUUUAUCUGGGGCGGAGGCCUCACAAAUAGUAACUGAGGUGUUCGAAGCUCAAUAAAGUUUAUAAUAUGAACUUAUAAAGUAUAAUGGCUAAAAUUGGGUUAACAGAUAGAAUGACCAUUCGAUCUGAGGCAUACGCCGGACAUAGUGAUCCGCAUAUCCGUUAUGGAACGAUAUGCGCAUAUCGAAACAAGUUACUCAAGGGAUAACAGGCUGAUGAGUCCCGAUAGUACUUAUUGACGGACUCGUUUGGCACCUCGAUGUCGACUCAUCUCAUCCUGGAGCUGUAUAAGGUUCCAAGGGUCGCUCUGUUCGAGCCAUAAAGAGGUACGUGAGUUGGGUUUAAUACGACGUGAGUCAGUAUGGACCCUAUCUACUAAUGGUGUAAGAAUUAAGAAAGAAAUCUGAUUUCAGUACGAGAGGAUCAACUUAUUGGUUUUACCUCUGGUUUGUCACCCGGUAAAGUUAAUAAUGUUGCCGCAGGUGGAAAGCUAAGUAAAAAAAGGAUAACCAUUGAAAAUAUAUGAAAUGGGAAACCUAUUCUUAAGAAAAUUCUUAAAAAGAUAGGCGAAAUAUUAUCGCUUAAAGGUUAUACUGUAAAAAAAUAGAGAUAUUAAAGCAAGAUAAAAACUUAUAAAUUCAAGAAACUUUUAUUU
RNAcentral lists this ribosomal RNA (2540 nucleotides) under Dimargaris cristalligena. RNAcentral describes it as "bacterial LSU rRNA". It matches the Rfam family "Bacterial large subunit ribosomal RNA". Lineage: Eukaryota; Fungi; Kickxellomycota; Dimargaritomycetes; Dimargaritales; Dimargaritaceae. The record is from RNAcentral.